RNAcentral lists this unclassified non-coding RNA (994 nucleotides) under Hevea brasiliensis (rubber tree). Lineage: Eukaryota; Viridiplantae; Streptophyta; Magnoliopsida; Malpighiales; Euphorbiaceae. The record is from RNAcentral.
GGACUAGCACAGAGCAGCGGCGAGAAAAUGACCGCUGGAAGAAGAACUUCUGCAAUAAAAGAAUAAUAUAAUAUAUCAUAGGGACUGAGGUUAUAAAUGCAUCCCACUUUCUCAUUCUCUCUCGUCUACUUGACCUGCGUUUCUCUCUUAUACUUUUACAUAUUCUUUUAAAGCUCUUCAAGAAAAUUCGCCACAAGGCAUAUCGGCUUUCUCCAUAUCAUUCUAUUUUCCGACUAUUUAUUGCUAUUUUAAUGGCUUCUUUCAAUUAUUUCAUGUUCUUCUACCCCUACUUCUUUUGGCUUUGUUUUUACUGCAUGCACCAUUCUUAGUGACAAGCUCUAAUUUCAGAUACAGGUUCAACUCAUCGGUCAAUAUUGCUUCUAACAAUUCCACCCAGCACCACCACAAAUGGGUCGGACCCGUCGGCCACCGUGUGAUCACCGUUGACAUUAAUGGGUCUGGCGAGUUCUAGUCUGUGCAAACUGCAGUUGAUUCUGUCCCGCAGAACAAUUCAGAAAACGUGCUGAUUCUAAUUCGGGCUGGAUGCUACGUGUAAUAAUUUUCUCUAAAUCAAAAUAUAUAGUUUUCCUUGCUGCUGCUGCUGGUUGGUCUAUUUGUAGACCCCGAUUGUCUAAGGAACUUUCAAAAGUUUAUUAGUAAUUUAUAAAUUAACAUUAAAUAAUAUAUAUUAAUAAUUUUCACUUAAUUAAUUCAGUUAAAUUAAAAAUUUCCAUUCAAUUAUAUGUAAUUAUCUAUUAAAUUUCGGUUGGAUAAUUCGUUUAACAGAAUGCUUACCCGUCAAACUUAAUAUAUAGGUGGUGGGUGGCUGGGUGCAGAGAGAAGGUGGUGGUGCUGGUAAAGAAACCAUAUAUAACGUUUCAAGAUUCAGGGAGAAACGUGACGUUCCUCGAAUGGCAUGAUAGAGCAAGCGAUCGUGGUCCCAAAGGCCAGCAGCUGGGUACUUACAGAGCAGCUUCAGUCACUGUUUUUGCCA